UCCUAUCAUACUUUAUACAUAGCAACAAAUUGAGAUUACAUAUGGCUACAUAAUAAGAUUCCUUUGCAUCAUCGUGUUCUUACUUUGAAAUAUCGUAGCAGCAAAUUGAAAGAUUCUAAUGUGUUAGUUUUGGCACAAUGGGCUUCGGCCUCCUUGACAUCCAGCUGCCUAUUGGCAAGCAAUUUUUGAAUCAUCUCUGGUACACACCAUGCACAUAGUUAGCGUGAUUAUAGCAUUGUAGGCAACAAAAAGGAAUCCAUAUGUAAUCUGAAUCUUCACUGAACUUUUUAGGUUUGACCGUCCAGGACCUCGGUCACACAAAAUUUGACAGCUCAAACUUUUACCCUGACCAGUCUUCCAUCAUCCAUGGCAAAUCCAUGACAUACUUGGCUUCACAUUGAGAUGGUUCACCACCUUCAUCUCACACGACUUGUCACACUGCAUAUCCACAAACCAAUCCAGUUAAUGUUUGACGACUGAAAAAAAUUUAGAGUAAAUCGACAGAUGCAUGAAUAAAUCAACCGAUGCGUUGCAUCGGGAGAAAAAAAACAUCACAAACACACCACCAAGCUCUAGCACCUUCGCCUACAACAUGGCAAUCAAGCAUACCCGACGCCCAUGCAAUGGGCCCCACGAUGAUCUUGCACCCUUGCGGCUCAACCGGCGACGUCGUCGGCGGGUCAAGGCAGCGGCAGAGCAGGCGUGACACAGAUGCCACGAGCUGCUCGGCCACCUUUCCUCAAAAUACAACACAACAACAAAGGGAACUUGGCUAGAGAUCGCACUUGAACACUUAGCUGCAAUAGAGAUGAUUAAAACUUUCAAGAAUACAAAUUUGGCUAUCCGUUACAGUGGGAGAUGCAGUGUAUAUGACGGCGAAAACGGGCAAGGAAAAAAAUAGGAAAUGAUUAAAUGUGUUUUUACCUUUUGACAACAUCCUUUUGCCCUGCAUCACAUACAGUAAUGAUGUCACAAGCAUGCUCUUGACGAGAACGAUUCACAUGUGCUAGCGACCAGCAGAGGAUGGAGAAAAGAAGGGCAGAAGAGGGAGGCUUGUAUCUAUCAAGACACCAGCAUAUAAUUCAAGCUUUGUCAAGAUACCAAUAAGAGUAAAAUCACUCAAAGCUAAUACGGAACCUUAUAGCAAUAUACUGCACUGCGUAUAUCCACUAUCAUC
Molecule: long non-coding RNA, 1177 nt
Filed under: Triticum aestivum (bread wheat)
Lineage: Eukaryota; Viridiplantae; Streptophyta; Magnoliopsida; Poales; Poaceae
Description: long non-coding RNA (TAES_LNC024884)
Source: RNAcentral